RNAcentral lists this ribosomal RNA (253 nucleotides) under uncultured bacterium. RNAcentral's name for it is "partial 16S ribosomal RNA". It matches the Rfam family "Bacterial small subunit ribosomal RNA", at positions 524 to 776 of the family's 1533-position model. The record is from RNAcentral.
CACGGGGGGAGCAAGCGUUGUUCGGAAUCACUGGGCGUAAAGGGCGUCUAGGCGGUCAGAUAAGUGGGAUGUGAAAUGCCCCGGCUCACCCGGGGACCGGCAUCCCAAACUGUCUGGCUUGAGUAUGGGAGAGGAUGUGGGAAUUCCUGGUGUAGCGGUGAAAUGCGUAGAUAUCAGGAGGAACACCGGUGGUGUAGACGGCUCUCUGGACAGUCACUGACGCUGAGACACGAAAGCGUGGGGAGCAAACAGG